UACACAGCUUCCCCAUUAAACGCUAAACUUAACUAAUAACAGAUCGUUACUUAGGCACCUUUCCCUAAAUAUGUGGUACAGUAAGGACACAAAAGUUAAAAGAAGGCGAAAACUUCCCAAUUAAGGGUAGUGUGGUCUAGUUUAUAACACUGCCAUUCUAUAAUGUCUAUUUCAAUCUAAAAAGCCAUAUCAGUCAGUAUUUUACAUCGGUUUUUCUUUUCCAUAUUUAUCGGUGGUAACUCAUAAGCUAUUUGUUGAAGUCAAUGGCUUUUUAGAUAUGGAAGGCAGCACAGCGCAUAUCAAUCGAUUAUGCUGAUUAAGCAACGUUGACCCAAGUCGUUGGCUGGAUGGGUAAUAGACUUUGGAGGUCCGAAGGCUUUUGCUUCUCCUUUUGGCCGAAGCCACGUUAAGCAAAGGAUCCUAUAAUCUCUGAUAUCUGUUUAAAUAAUAAUCGUUACAAAAGUUAAAAUCGUCUUCUUGGGUCCAGCUGCAUGACAGGCGAUUAAGGUUAAGUUACGGUUACAGUUAAACUUUGACUGACAAUUUAAAAAAUGGGAUUAAAGUGUCAUGACUAACCUAUUAGAGACCUGGCUGAAACUAUCCAUUUGCUUCGGCCCUCACACUGGUACUUCAAAAGCUACAUUUUAAAUCGACUUCUUUCAACUUUCGUAGAUCACACUGCGAUAACCGAUAACCUACGUUUAGACAAGAACGAUCAAAACGACGAUCGAAUAAAGUGGCGUUUUGAAAGACGGACACCUUCAAGGGUAAACUAUCGUAACGCCAACUAAACUUUUUCACCCAAUACAAUAAUUGAACUAAGAGUGAAGAAUAGUCCAAGAAAAGAAGAAAACAUUGGUUUGAAAAUCUUUUCCUAAUCAGCCCGGACGGGGUCUUAAAAGUUUAUUGAGGUACAUCGAUCGUAGAAUCGGUCAAACAUGUCUAGAUUUAAGGUGACAUUCGCAGUCCCAAACCAAAUACUUGAAAUCGUGCGCUACCAAAUGCCACCUUAAUAUGUAUAUUAAUAUAAUUACAUAUUUAUUAUGGAACUAUUUACACGCAUUCAUCAAAGUGUUGCAACAACGUACCUACUGUUCGAUCAAAACAUACAAAAAAGCAAAAGUAUUGACGAAAGAUAAAAUAAACUAAGUAUAGUACGCUAUAGAUCGACAUUGCAAUCGGGAUAUGAGGCGGGGGGACGCCCCGCACACCCACACGUCCCCCGCGUUAUCCCGCAUCGGGUUAGCGCGGGGGUGCGGGGCGUCCCCACACCGAUUGCCAUGUCAACCUGUCGCGAACUUUAAAUAUAAACCACGUUCAGCCGACAAGUUCAGUUUGGAAGAUAAAGACUUAAAAAAACAGUAAGUAUUCCUUCCUUAUCAUUGCAAAACUAUUUUUUGUUUCAAUAAAAGCCACACAACCAAAUAAUGAUAAAUACCUACGUGAAGUCUGAUUUGCGAAGCUUUUAUUGAAACUGACAUCUGCACACAAUUCAAAUU
Molecule: long non-coding RNA, 1499 nt
Organism: Maniola jurtina (meadow brown)
Lineage: Eukaryota; Metazoa; Arthropoda; Insecta; Lepidoptera; Nymphalidae
Exons: 2
Source: RefSeq, a predicted model, not a curated record